GCCUACGACGGAAAUCAUCGUGAAUGCGCCUGUUCAUUCCAGAUCCCGGAAGUUAAGCAGGAAUUGUGCCGGGUUAGUACUGAGAUGGGCGACUAUUUUGUGAAUACCAGGUGUUGUAGGCU
RNAcentral lists this ribosomal RNA (122 nucleotides) under Petromyzon marinus (sea lamprey). Lineage: Eukaryota; Metazoa; Chordata; Hyperoartia; Petromyzontiformes; Petromyzontidae. The record is from RNAcentral.